GUGUUAGUGGAACGGUCUGGAAAGUCCGACGGUACAGGGUGAUAGUCCCGUACACCAAAAAGCUCAGGCUGUGAACUCGAAGAGUAGGGCGGGACACGUGGUAUCCUGUCUGAAUAUGGGGGGACCAUCCUCCAAGGCUAAAUACUCCUGACUGACCGAUUGUGAACCAGUACCGUGAGGGAAAGGCGAAAAGAACCCCGGCGAGGGGAGUGAAAAAGAACCUGAAACCGUGUACGUACAAGCAGUGGGAGCACCUUCGGGUGUGACUGCGUACCUUUUG
Molecule: ribosomal RNA, 280 nt
Filed under: Klebsiella pneumoniae
Lineage: Bacteria; Pseudomonadati; Pseudomonadota; Gammaproteobacteria; Enterobacterales; Enterobacteriaceae
Description: partial 23S ribosomal RNA
Rfam family: Bacterial large subunit ribosomal RNA
Source: RNAcentral